Molecule: microRNA, 21 nt
Filed under: Sarcophilus harrisii (Tasmanian devil)
Lineage: Eukaryota; Metazoa; Chordata; Mammalia; Dasyuromorphia; Dasyuridae
Also listed under: 2 other names
Description: Sha-Mir-7371-P11d_3p (mature (co-guide))
Source: RNAcentral
AUAAUCACUUUAUCCACGGAG